Molecule: long non-coding RNA, 1655 nt
Organism: Ceratitis capitata (Mediterranean fruit fly)
Lineage: Eukaryota; Metazoa; Arthropoda; Insecta; Diptera; Tephritidae
Exons: 6
Source: RefSeq, a predicted model, not a curated record
CAGAAUCUGAGUAUGCUUUGCUAAUAUAAAGUAAAAAACUCUUUUCAUCUUCUAGUUUAGUAUUUUUUCGCACAACGUAUACGAUUCAAGCCAGAAAAAUAUUGAUAAAAUUUAUUGUUUAGUGUAACUAGGCAAAACAAUAAAUAUAGUGAGAGUGACGUUCUCCGGAAAUCCUGAGAACAUAUUGUUCUUGGGAUCCUAAUCAACCAAAAGAGCCGACCUAAUGUAAACAUUUUAUUUUUUAGGAAUUGUAGAGGUAUAUUAUACUUGUGGAAACACAAAUAUAGUUAUAGUAAAAGUAGUGGUUGUACUUUUACUCUCUACAUAUGUAAAAUGAAAAUUCCACUAGUAUUCCUCUUAAAUUUGUCUACAGCUUUUCUAUCAAUGCUUGGAAACAAAGACGCGAUGUUUUCGUUGCUUGUGUGGUACAUAGCGCCGUUUUAUUGGAAGUAAACGUUGUCCAGAUCAAUGCCAUCAAAAUCCAUGCAUAAAAAACCACGAAUCAUACCUUGAUAGCGGAAUACAUUCAUUUUCGAAAAAUUAUAUGUUUACGUUAAGCGACGAUGACGACGCCUUAAUGCUCUAACAUUAUACUUAAAGAGGGAGUUGCAGGACAUAGACGAGAGGUUUCAGUCAUUCCUUAAGAUGAAAAAUUCUACUUUUCAAACACUGGGCUCGUUUGUGGGCCCAACCAUUCAAAGACAAAGACAACUUUUAAAGAAGGUGUUGGCCACGAAGAGCGAUUCAUGAUAACCGUCGUGGAUGACUGAUUUGGAUGAGGUUAGUUUCGCCGGACGAGAUAGUGUCGGAGGCAUUUUUCAAGUUUCGCAAUUCCAACGCUGGCUAGAAAGAAACAUCGACAUUCCGGUCCCAAUACCAUGGCCACAUGACGACAUUGGAACCCGAUUACUUUUUGACCGAUACUUCAUUUCCGUUAAGGAUAACUAUUAUACAAUGCGGCCGUAUCCAGAAAGAAACAUCGUAAAACGAAGCGAAUAUUCAAUUAACCCUUGAGUGGCGAACGAAAACCGAUUGAAUGUGUAUUCCACAUGAUACCCAGAAAUUUAAACUAUUGAUGAAGGUGCCGAGAGUAUAGUACUUGCAACAUAAUUUUAUACACAAACACGAACACACGGAAAAUGACAACCAACCAAUGUACCGAUGCGGGCCAAGGAUAUGCUUCCAGCUAAUUUCACGGCACAGAAAAUUUGGAAAUAUGUUUCCAACUACUUUUUUACUGCGUCAAUUUGCCUUGCCAUGGCAAUGAAAUCAUUAUAAAUAUAUACAAAAUACAUCGUAAGUUUACAAAUUAUUUGUUGUUUAGGUUUAUUCCAAUUUAUAUCAUAUAGUCUUUAACAUAUACCCUUAUUUUUCGCGAAAUUUCCGUCUAUGAUUUAUCAACAAUGUCUCCGCUUCGAUGCACACAGCUUGAAUGAAGAAGCGAAAACAUUAUUAUGAAGUAUAUGUAUGUACAUAUGUGCGUUGAAAUACACGUGCUCGACGCAGAAGGGCCAUAUUUUAGUAUGCCGAAUCGUUUACACAACUAUGAUUAGGUGCUUAAUGUGUAGAAGUCCUAAAUGGAGAUAACGCGCGUUUCGGGUUUUAUAGCACUGUCAAACAGUUUCAGUUUGGUUUAUAAUUUAACCAUGAAUCGU